CCUACGGGAGGCAGCAGUGAGGAAUAUUGGUCAAUGGGCUUACACCUGAACCAGCCAAGUCGCGUGAGGGAAGACUGCCCUAUGGGUUGUAAACCUCUUUUGUCAGGGAGCAAUUGGCGCUACGUGUAGCGUUAUCGAGAGUACCUGAAGAAAAAGCAUCGGCUAACGCCGUGCCAGCAGCCGCGGUAAUACGGAGGAUGCGAGCGUUAUCCGGAUUUAUUGGGUUUAAAGGGUGCGUAGGCGGAAUGCCAAGUCAGCGGUAAAAUCGCGGGGCUCAACCUCGCCGCGCCGUUGAAACUGGUGUUCUUGAGUGGGUGAGAAGUAUGCGGAAUGCGUGGUGUAGCGGUGAAAUGCAUAGAUAUCACGCAGAACUCCGAUUGCGAAGGCAGCAUACCGGCGCCCAACUGACGCUGAAGCACGAAAGCGUGGGUAUCGAACAGGAUUAGAUACCCUGGUAGUC
Molecule: ribosomal RNA, 460 nt
Filed under: uncultured bacterium
Lineage: Bacteria
Description: partial 16S ribosomal RNA
Rfam family: Bacterial small subunit ribosomal RNA
Source: RNAcentral